This 908-nucleotide ribosomal RNA is filed under the name Diplodia sapinea. Its description in RNAcentral is "SSU rRNA". It matches the Rfam family "Bacterial small subunit ribosomal RNA", at positions 15 to 962 of the family's 1533-position model. Lineage: Eukaryota; Fungi; Ascomycota; Dothideomycetes; Botryosphaeriales; Botryosphaeriaceae. The record is from RNAcentral.
GAUGAUGGCUCUGAUUGAACGCUAUCCUAGUGCUUGACACAUGCUAAUCGAACGUCUAAUUUCAUUAGAAAUAAUUUAGUUAGAAGUGGUGUACAGGUGAGUAAAUGAUAUUAUGGCUACCUUGGAGUAAGGGACAUUAAAAUCCCUUAUAUAUCAAACUAAUGUUUGCAUUAAAAGAAAUUUAUUUUCGCUCCUAGAUGGAAAUUAAUAUCUCGGACAGGUAGUAGUUAAGGUAAUGGCUUAACUAGCUUAUGUCCGUAGUUCGAGACUGAGAGGUCGAUCGAUCACAUUGGGUCUGAAAAAACCCCAAUACGUAUAGUACAGCAGUGAGGAAUAUUGGUCAAUGGCCUAACGGCUGAACCAGCAACUUGGGGGAAUGGAUAUAUAUAUUAGAGAUAAUAUAUAGUACCGACUUUGUCGGAUAAAGUUCUAGAUAGAAUAAUGAUAAUGACAAUUUUCUAUCUAUAUGUCUUGACCAAAUCUUGUGCCAGCAGUCGCGGCAACACAAGGGAGACUAGUGUUAUUCAUCUUUAUUAGGUUUAAAGGGUACCUAGACGGUAUAUCAUGCCCCAAAAGGGAACGGAUAUACUAGAGUUUUAUGUGAGAGGCAAAUAUAGUACUAUUGGUGUAGAGAUAAAAUUCAUUGAUACCUCUAGGCACGGGUAACGGCGAAGGCAAUCCUCUAUGUAAAAACUGACGUUGAGGGACGAAGGCUCGGGUAGCGAAUAGGAUUAGAUACCCUAGUAGUCCGGGCAGACAAUUAUGAAUGUCAUAGAUUAGAAAUAUUUGGUCUAUAAAUGAAAGUGUAAGCAUUCCACCUCAAGAGUAAGGCGGCAACGUUGGAACUGAAAUCAUUAGACCGUUUCUGAAACCAGUAGUGAAGUAUGUUAUUUAAUUCGAUGAUCCGC